Molecule: long non-coding RNA, 452 nt
Filed under: Nicotiana tabacum (common tobacco)
Lineage: Eukaryota; Viridiplantae; Streptophyta; Magnoliopsida; Solanales; Solanaceae
Description: long non-coding RNA (NTAB_LNC016380)
Source: RNAcentral
AAGAGCCGCCCAAGUCCCUUUCCCCAUCUCUCCAGCUCUCGCCCUUUCCAUGGUUGCCGUUGCCUGAGGUGAUGACCGGCGACGACCAUGACUGUUGCUGUUGCACCUAGCUAUUGCUUCUGUCCCUUUUCCCCCUCUACUGUCACUGUUUCGCCGGAGUCGCACCAUCAACGGCAAACGAGCAGAAAAUCGGCGAUAGUCGUCCAAACUGGUUGGUUUCAACUAUUUUUUUUUAUUUUAAAAACUAAACAAAGCUGAAAUCUGUUUCUGCUGAGUUGUAUCGAAAUUGGGGCGUUGAAGUCAUUUGAGGUCGUAGUCUAUGGUUUCCGGGCAGAUUCGCGGUUCCGUCGAGUUAGUCGGUAAAUUUUCCGGUCGAGAGCCGUCCAGCUAUUAAGCCUUUGUAAUUUCAACUCAGUUCAUUUAUACCAAAGGUCAAAUUCUCGUCCCUUUCU